GGGGCCGUAGCGCAGAGGUCGUCGCGCUCGGCUUCCCUCCGAGAGGACGCCGGUUCGAUUCCGGCCGGUCCCG
Molecule: transfer RNA, 73 nt
Filed under: Nocardiopsis flavescens
Lineage: Bacteria; Bacillati; Actinomycetota; Actinomycetes; Streptosporangiales; Nocardiopsidaceae
Description: Nocardiopsis sp. SA6 tRNA
Rfam family: tRNA
About the family: Transfer RNA (tRNA) molecules are approximately 80 nucleotides in length. Their secondary structure includes four short double-helical elements and three loops (D, anti-codon, and T loops).
Source: Rfam by way of RNAcentral